Molecule: long non-coding RNA, 4875 nt
Filed under: Lynx pardinus (Iberian lynx)
Lineage: Eukaryota; Metazoa; Chordata; Mammalia; Carnivora; Felidae
Source: RNAcentral
GAGCGUGUGCACCCAUUCCUGCCUCACUCCCCCCGCCUCCCCCCCCAGCCUUGGUCCCGUGCCUGUGUCUUCACAGCAUGGGGUCGGGCUGGGAACGGACAGCUUGCACAAGCUGGGAGCCAAGGUGGCCAAGGAGGGAGCGACCCGCCGGGUCAUAGCUCUUGGUGGAGCCCCUGCCCCAGCGGGUGACCACCACUCUGCUCCCCAGGUGGGCCUGGAUCCUUCAGGACGCACUGGGCGUCGCCUUCUGCCUCUACAUGUUGAAAACCAUCCGCCUCCCCACUUUCAAGGUGAGGGUCCCAAGGGGGUGGGGCCGCCGGAUGGGAGGGGGCUGUGUCCUCAGGGCGGCUGCAGGCCGGCCCGCCCCCGUGUCCGCCCAGGGUGUCCCGGGUCCCCUGUGGACAGCAUGUUCUUUGUGCCUCUGUCCGUCCCGCCACCUCUCUGGUGUCAGGGCUUAAGGAUCAACCGCAGGAUCGCCUCCCAGUGUGGCGGCCACGCCAGUGACAGCUUGGCGCUGAGGAUUCCCCGGGUGGGGCCGCAAGGCGGCCGCAGGGCAGGGCCCUUCCCGAGGCGGCCACCGUGGCGGUGCCGGGUCAACUUCCUGCUGGUGAGCCGCGCACACACAGGCAAAAGGGGGCGGCAGCGCCAGCGCAGGCCCCGUGGGCAGGACCGAGAAGUCCACGGGAAGACGUGAAGAAGGGGCGUCACCGCCCCAAAGCCACAGAAUGCGUGUCGCUGGAGCCACCUGCCUUCCAGCUUUUCCAUCACUCAGAACCGUGGCCUGACUCACGUGCUGCCCUGGUCUCCCGCGGCUCCAGGGGAUGGGACUGGAUUUGCUCAGAUUUGCCCCUAGCUGCUUUGUCCCGUGGGCACGGCUGAGCCUUGUGGGGGGAGGUGGGGGUGGGGACGCGGCCUGGGGGUGUGCGCCGGGGACCUUCUGAGCGCGGCCCCUCAGGACGUCCUCUCCCCAGGCCUGCACGCUGCUGCUGCUGGUGCUCUUUGUCUACGACGUCUUCUUUGUGUUCAUCACGCCCUUUCUGACCAAGGUGGGCGCCCCUGCCCUGCCCUGCCGCUGCACCCCCUGUCCCCGUGCCCCUUCUCUGACACCCCCCCCCCCUUUGUUAGAGUGGGAACAGCAUCAUGGUGGAGGUGGCAACCGGGCCCUCGGACUCGGCCACCCACGAGAAGGUACGUAGGGGGCCCCCGGCCGGGGCGCCGCCCGGAGAAGAGUGCUGGGCACGCGCGGCCCCCCGGACAUGGCACUUCCUGCUCCCCCCAGCUCCCCAUGGUCCUGAAGGUGCCCCGACUGAACGCCUCGCCGCUGGCCCUGUGUGACCGGCCCUUCUCCCUCCUGGGCUUCGGGGACAUCCUGGUGCCAGGUACUGGGGUGCGAGGUGGGCGGCCUUGGGAGCGUCCAGUGGGUGGAGCCUGAGCGGAGCAGGCCGGGUUUGCCCCCUGGGUGGCGGGCUGGCCGCCGAGCCCCGUCUGAAAGCAGGGACGGCCGUCACACGGGACGCCGCCGGGCCCACGCGCCUUCUCCCCGCAGGGCUGCUCGUGGCCUACUGCCACAGGUUCGACAUCCAGGUGCAGUCGUCCAGGGUCUACUUUGUAGCCUGCACCGUGGGUAAGCGCCCUCCUUGUAUCUGUCCGUCCUUCGUUCUGUCCUUGUCCCCCACUUCUUUCUUUGGUUACCAAAGCCAUUGCUACAGAACCGACCUGUCCUGUGGAGCCCGAUUGCUUUGAGAGUUUUCCAGACCGGCCGGCCUGCUCACCUCUGGUCAGCCCUUCCGGAGGAGCAGCGAGCCUGCCCGAUGGCGCCUGUCCGUGUGCAUGCGUGUCCCCCGCCAUGGGGGAGCCAGGCUGGGGGAGGGGCUGCCUGACGACUCCCUCCCCCGCGUCGUGGGCCGCGUGCACAGGCCCCGGCAGCCCACCCCGGCAGAGGCGAGGCCCUGUAAAUGCCCCUGGGAGCACCAGGACGACCGGGGCUGACCUUCCGGGCGUACCUUGGGGUCGCCUGUGUCUUCCCACCCCGGUGGCUACGGCUGCAGGCACGCCCCCCUCGUCCCCUUUGCCGGCCCUAAACCUUCCCUUGGGCUUUACACACCACACUCAUCCUUCAGGUACCGUUGCAAGGGCUUUGUGUGUGUGAGCCGCUUGGCCGGCUUGUGUGUGUGGUUCCUUGUCGAGCCUGCGGACCUUGCGGGCAGCGGGCGCCUUUCUCCUCCGCAGCCGCAGCCGCAGCCCGCUCCCGUGGACCGCCGGUAAGUGACGCACAGCUCUCCCCGGAGGUGAGGACCGCCGAGCGAGCCGCGAUCUCGGAGGAGGUUACUGUAGCCUAACUCCUCGAGGAGACGGUUGCGGAUUUACCGCUGCAGGAUUAGCGCAAAGAGCGCCUGCACGCCGGCCCUCGGGUCCAGCAGCGUGUGCGUGCGUGACUGUGUGUGCAAGUACGUGUGUGUGCGUGCGCAAACGCGCGUCCUUCUAUGCUGGCGCUCACGUAUGGAACCGACGUGCGGGAUUUAUUCGGACCUUCGCCCCUCGGGGCUCCGUCGGGUAUCUCAUGAGAAUGGAAACAGCCUUUCGAACGAUCACAGCUUGUUACGAACAUUUGCUUUUGUAACUUUGUGCGGACGUUACUCUUCUCCAGAAUUCUCUUCCUAGCCAGAGGCUGAGCAGACAGGUGCUCAGGCAGUUAACGGGCCUUUCUCUCACUGCCCCUGUGGCUCCAGACCCGGGGCUCAGCCAUGGAGCCUUGCUCAUUCCCGCCUUCUCGCUGGCGCCCGGUGGGACCGGGCAGGGGUGUGUGUGCCGGAAGACGCAGGCGCAUCCGUGCGCAGGCAGGCAGCCCCCUGCCUGCCCCGGGUGCCCCAUGCGCUACCGUGUGGCGGGCGCCCCGCCUCUCCGGUCCCCGUUCCGGCAUCCCGGCCGCAGGCGGGUGCUGGGCCGCGGGGCCACCCGUGGGGGUAACACGCCGCCCGUCUCUCCCUGCAGCCUACGGGAUCGGCCUCCUGGUGACGUUCAUGGCGCUGGCCCUCAUGCAGCGCGGCCAGCCCGCCCUCCUCUACCUGGUGCCCUGCACGCUGAUGAUAAGCUGCGCCCUGGCGCUCUGGCGCAGGGAGCUGGGCAUGUUCUGGACGGGCAGCGGCUUUGCGGUGAAUACCCGUUUGCUAUGACUGUCUGCGAGAAAUAAUAACCCAAUAAGCCCUAACUAGAGUUAAAGUUGAGUAAAACCUCCUAGUUUCACGACUAAACCCCGCGGCCUCUGUCCCCGUUCCCAGAAGGUUCUGUUUGGUGUCCUGUCCGUGUGGCUCUGAAGGGUCCGAGCCGUCCCAGCAGAGGGGACGCGCUUGUGCCGUCCCACUGGGUGUGGCUUGAGGAUGGUGCUAACAGCCCUUUACUAGAGGUGCCAGUCCCGAGGGACCGUAACACCCCAUGUGAUGGGAUACUGGCUUCCGGCUGCUUCAGCCCUUGGGAACACAGUGCCGAGCUGGGGGGGCCCCCGAGGUCCUCUGCCAGGGUGGGGGCUGUCCGCCCAGGACGGGGAAAGGGCAGGGGGCCCGGGGGCAAGCUGUGCAAGGCCAGGUGGAGGAACCCAAGCUCAGCCUGUGGCGCCACCGCCCCCCUCGUGGAGUGGAUCACGGCCAGUGGCUUGCUGUUCCUGGUUUUUGAGACAGAAGAGGAGAGGGACGGAGGCCACUCUUGGUGCAGCGCAGCACAUUCGAUGGGACGAGGGCACGUGUUUCAGUGGCGCAGGGACAGAGCUGACGCCCUGCGGGUAUGGAAAGGCUGCGGCUGCCUCUGCUGCCCUGUCAGUAGCACACAGAGGCGGGCGACACCGGGACCAGCCUUGUCAGUUACAGGAGCUCCUGAGUGUGACAUGUGUCCCUCUGGAGCGCUGCUGGUUGAGUGUGGUGUUACCGUGCCAGGUUUUGUGGAAGUUGAAACUCGCACCCUCUCCGUCCUGGCCUAGAGGCGCCGAACGGAGCAGGGCCCCAGGUUAACCUGAUAGAUGAACCAGAUAACGUAACCGAUGGAUGAUAGGGCCUUGGGCCCUCCCGCGGGCCCUCGGGGAAACGCUCCCGGCUUCAUCGCCCACCGUCCUCAGAGGCUCUCAGUCCCGAGGAGUGCUGGCUUUGCCACAGGGCAAAGUUCUGGAAGGUUCAGGAGGCCGGGGAACAAGGCUCAGCGUUUCUGCAUUGGGUCACCGGCCUGUGGUCCCGCCUUCUGGCUGGUGCUACUUGGCCCCAAGGGAAGGUGGCUCCUGGGUCUGGAGCUGGACCCUCGGGGGACGGUGACUCAUCUGCCCUCCCCUGUCCACUGUCCCCGGGCUUUCCUGUCCUCGUCCCACGCCUGACUGUGGCCUCUUCUCUUACAGAAGGACCUACCUCAGUCUCCUUGGGCGGCGUCUUCAGCCGACGGCCCCCAGCCCCAGACGGACUCAGACACUGGCCUCUCCCAGCCGCCUCCAGGCGAAGGACUGGCCAAGUGCUCCCUGCCCACGAAGCAGCCCCCGGCAUUGUCUGCGCCCGAGGAGACGGGGGCCAGAGCACCCCCCCAGGAGCCCACGAGCCCAGCCAGCCGCCCCCCUGAACCCACAGGCCCGGUAGGCACCUCGGCCUAGAUGAUGGCGCAGACUCUCGGGCCCUCGCUGCCGCCCCUCUGCGCCGAGAGACCCCGAGACUGGACGUGCUCGGCCCUCCCCCCCCCAACUUGGUGCUCUGGUCUGGCCGAUGUCCCCGCUCUUCCUCCUCCUUGAGCAGAGCCCAGCUGCACCCUGGACCCUCUCCAGCUCCUGCUCCCGGCCCGAGUGGCUGCCGCGAGCCCCCGGACCGACGAGGUCACCCGUGUGGAGCGCCCAGCUCCGCGGUCUUGCCU